Molecule: ribosomal RNA, 253 nt
Filed under: uncultured bacterium
Lineage: Bacteria
Description: partial 16S ribosomal RNA
Rfam family: Bacterial small subunit ribosomal RNA
Source: RNAcentral
UACGUAGGGGGCAAGCGUUGUCCGGAAUCAUUGGGCAUAAAGAGCGUGUAGGCGGUCCGAUAAGUCCGCUCUGAAAGCCCGGGGCUCAACCCCGGGAGGCGGGCGGAUACUGUCGGGCUAGAGUCCGGAAGAGGCAAGUGGAAUUCCUGGUGUAGCGGUGAAAUGCGCAGAUAUCAGGAGGAACACCGAUGGCGAAGGCAGCUUGCUGGGACGGUACUGACGCUGAGACGCGAAAGCGUGGGGAGCAAACAGG